This is a long non-coding RNA of Symphalangus syndactylus (siamang), 766 nucleotides long. RefSeq lists it as uncharacterized. The record is from RefSeq and is a predicted model, not a curated record. NCBI's taxonomy places the organism in Eukaryota, Metazoa, Chordata, Mammalia, Primates, Hylobatidae.
UCGCAGACGCAGAUUCGGCAGGGCUCGGGUUUCCACACGUCUCGGUCAUGGUACCUGAGGCCGUUCUGUACGCAGAUUAGAAAACUGAGGCCCAGAGAAGGAAAGUAGCUGCCAGAGGUCACACAGCUGGGAUUGAAGGAUCAGAGAGAUCCUCCUUCCCCGCAAGCUGGUGCAUGUGGAUUUUGGCUCUGUUUGCCUUUGACCCCUAGUGAAAGAAAAUACUGAGGACCACAGGUCAUCCUCAAGCCUUCCUCCCAGGCUCUCCUUGUCCCUGAAUACUAAUGUCUAAAGGUCAGCCCAGCUACCACCAGUGUGCAUGUGAUGUGUCCCAUCUCCCCUUCAGAUUGGAGAAGAAGCUGUGUCCCUCCCAUCAGACAGAGGGUCUCCUUAAAGAUUCUCCUGGUCUCCAGCUUGGGCUCUGCUGGAAAGAAGAGGAAGUAUUUAGCAAGGAUGAAGGUGGGUUCUUACUUCCCUGAGGCAGCCAGAGAUAAGAAAAGACUGGAAUAUGAAUAUCCAGCAUUCCACAAAGAAUCCUACAGGCAGAGAUAUUGCCCAAUCCCCAGUGCCUCGCAUCCCAGCUCUAUCCAAGAUCCAAGCUUGAUAUCCUCCUGAAAGACUUCCUGAAUCAGGUCACCAACAUGGACAUCUGAACUUCAAGAAUCAGGUCACCAUCUUUCUUCUCAUCUCUGGAUGUAUUUGGAGCUCAUUUGUCUGACAGUUUUUGAAUGCUAAUUUUUUAAAAUAAACUUUUACAAUUUGAGUUUAA